UUUAUCGGUAUGAGAUGGCGAUGCGUCCCAUUAGCUUGUUGGUGAGGUAAUGGCUCACCAAGGCAUCGAUGGGUAGGGGUUCUGAGAGGAAGGUCCCCCACAUUGGAACUGAGACACGGUCCAAACUCCUACGGGAGGCAGCAGUGAGGAAUAUUGGUCAAUGGACGAAAGUCUGAACCAGCCAAGUAGCGUGCAGGACGACGGCCCUCUGGGUUGUAAACUGCUUUUAGUUGGGAAUAAAAAGAGGGACGUGUCCCUUAUUGUAUGUACCAUCAGAAAAAGGACCGGCUAAUUCCGUGCCAGCAGCCGCGGUAAUACGGAAGGUCCAGGCGUUAUCCGGAUUUAUUGGGUUUAAAGGGAGCGCAGGCGGCGGCGUAAGUCAGUUGUGAAAUCGUGCGGCUUAACCGUGCAAUUGCAGUUGAUACUGCGUCGCUUGAGUGCACACA
Molecule: ribosomal RNA, 446 nt
Filed under: uncultured Bacteroidota bacterium
Lineage: Bacteria; Pseudomonadati; Bacteroidota
Description: bacterial SSU rRNA
Rfam family: Bacterial small subunit ribosomal RNA
Source: RNAcentral